GUAUGGCUCAGAAUGGCUCCCUACACAAGGAAGGACAAUUAAGUUUCUGAUACUACUCCUCAUGUACCGGGACAACUCACAGACUAAUGGUGCUUGAAAGUCUUAGGACAGCCCCAGAUCUCAGAGGACCUCAGAAACAGAAUUCACAGUUCACAAGAUGUUGCAGUGUUUAAACAGAAAGCAUUCUGCUAUGGCAAAGAGUGAUGAAAAACCAACAUAUAGUGUGUAAUCCUGGGAAAGUUGAACAUAACUACAGCUUCAGGAUACACUCAUCUCUAAGUCUUGAGUGUACUGCCCUUGUGUUCUCAUCUGCAUGAGUUCUGCUAGUGUGAAGAAAUCACAUGCAGGGUAAGUUUAACACUCAAAUUUCUAAAUGAAAUUCAA
RNAcentral lists this small RNA (384 nucleotides) under Rattus norvegicus (Norway rat). RNAcentral's name for it is "uncharacterized LOC102551357". The record is from RNAcentral. Lineage: Eukaryota; Metazoa; Chordata; Mammalia; Rodentia; Muridae.